UGGGGGAAUUUUGGACAAUGGGCGAAAGCCUGAUCCAGCAAUGCCGCGUGUGUGAAGAAGGCCUUCGGGUUGUAAAGCACUUUUGUCCGGAAAGAAAUCCUUGGCUCAAUACAGCCGGGGGAUGACGGUACCGGAAGAAUAAGCACCGGCUAACUACGUGCCAGCAGCCGCGGUAAUACGUAGGGUGCAAGCGUUAAUCGGAAUUACUGGGCGUAAAGCGUGCGCAGGCGGUUUGCUAAGACCGAUGUGAAAUCCCCGGGCUCAACCUGGGAACUGCAUUGGUGACUGGCAGGCUAGAGUAUGGCAGAGGGGGGUAGAAUUCCACGUGUAGCAGUGAAAUGCGUAGAGAUGUGGAGGAAUACCGAUGGCGAAGGCAGCCCCCUGGGCCAAUACUGACGCUCAUGCACGAAAGCGUGGGGAGCAAAACAGGAUUAGAUACCCUGGUAGUCCACGCCCUAAACGAUGUCAACUAGUUGUUGGGGAUUCAUUUCCUUAGUAACGUAGCUAACGCGUGAAGUUGACCGCCUGGGGAGUACGGUCGCAAGAUUAAAA
Molecule: ribosomal RNA, 552 nt
Filed under: uncultured bacterium
Lineage: Bacteria
Description: partial 16S ribosomal RNA
Rfam family: Bacterial small subunit ribosomal RNA
Source: RNAcentral